Molecule: small nuclear RNA, 238 nt
Organism: Drosophila melanogaster (fruit fly)
Lineage: Eukaryota; Metazoa; Arthropoda; Insecta; Diptera; Drosophilidae
Source: Ensembl
GUGCCUCAAACUAAUGAGUAAGGAAAACCAAUCAGCCUUGCUAAUCGCUUGGCAGUAUUGGCUUCUAGGCAGGGGGGCGUGUCCCGCGCCCCUUGAAGCUCAAAUUUUUGCAAGGGCACAGGUCGUCCCCUCCUCCUCCGCGUGGGUGGCGUUCGGCCGAGCGAACCGGCGCCUACUUUGCGUCCGGCUAGCGAGGAUCUCUGGGUGCCAUCCCACGGCUGGGUGUUGCGAUCUGCCC